RNAcentral lists this small RNA (104 nucleotides) under Brevibacillus parabrevis. RNAcentral's name for it is "Guanidine-I sequence". It matches the Rfam family "Guanidine-I riboswitch aptamer". From Rfam's summary of the family: This family represents a conserved RNA structure found upstream of the ykkC and yxkD genes in Bacillus subtilis and related genes in other bacteria. The record is from RNAcentral. Lineage: Bacteria; Bacillati; Bacillota; Bacilli; Caryophanales; Paenibacillaceae.
UGUUGAGUUUUCUAGGGUUCCGCGAGCCAGACAGUGGCCGGACUGGACCGAGAGAAAACCCACGGCGUUUGCCGUGUACACGGAGGGAUAAAAGCCCGGGAGAA